This 488-nucleotide ribosomal RNA is filed under the name Stenotrophomonas sp. 01WB03.3-55. RNAcentral describes it as "bacterial SSU rRNA". It matches the Rfam family "Bacterial small subunit ribosomal RNA", at positions 1 to 483 of the family's 1533-position model. Lineage: Bacteria; Pseudomonadati; Pseudomonadota; Gammaproteobacteria; Lysobacterales; Lysobacteraceae. The record is from RNAcentral.
UGAGCUUGAUCCUGGCUCAGAGUGAACGCUGGCGGUAGGCCUAACACAUGCAAGUCGAACGGCAGCACAGUAAGAGCUUGCUCUUAUGGGUGGCGAGUGGCGGACGGGUGAGGAAUACAUCGGAAUCUACCUUUUCGUGGGGGAUAACGUAGGGAAACUUACGCUAAUACCGCAUACGACCUUCGGGUGAAAGCAGGGGACCUUCGGGCCUUGCGCGGAUAGAUGAGCCGAUGUCGGAUUAGCUAGUUGGCGGGGUAAAGGCCCACCAAGGCGACGAUCCGUAGCUGGUCUGAGAGGAUGAUCAGCCACACUGGAACUGAGACACGGUCCAGACUCCUACGGGAGGCAGCAGUGGGGAAUAUUGGACAAUGGGCGCAAGCCUGAUCCAGCCAUACCGCGUGGGUGAAGAAGGCCUUCGGGUUGUAAAGCCCUUUUGUUGGGAAAGAAAAGCAGUCGAUUAAUACUCGGUUGUUCUGACGGUACCCAAG